GGUCCCACCCCUUCCCAUCCCGAACAGGACCGUGAAACGACUCAGCGCCGAUGAUAGUGCGGAUUCCCGUGUGAAAGUAGGUCAUCGUCAGGC
RNAcentral lists this ribosomal RNA (93 nucleotides) under Roseateles depolymerans. Lineage: Bacteria; Pseudomonadati; Pseudomonadota; Betaproteobacteria; Burkholderiales; Sphaerotilaceae. The record is from RNAcentral.